RNAcentral lists this long non-coding RNA (934 nucleotides) under Phasianus colchicus (ring-necked pheasant). Its description in RNAcentral is "lncRNA (ENSPCLG00000005081.1)". The record is from RNAcentral. Lineage: Eukaryota; Metazoa; Chordata; Aves; Galliformes; Phasianidae.
AGGGAAACGGGAAUGAGGGCAUAACUGGCCCUGCAGAGCUCAGAAAGCUCCCUCAGAAACAAGGGCACAGCAUUUCACCGCCUCGGUCCUUCAGUCCAGCUCUCUGAACUCCUGGUAUAAAGUGAUGCGUAUUGAAAGUACCAAACCAAAAGAGCAUCACUAAAGCAGGGAAGUUUACUGCACAUGAAUGCUUCGAUCCAGAGAGGGCAAGAGAAAUGUGAGACAGGAUUUAAUCAUGUCAGUCCCGUGCUUCAGCAGCACAGCCCUCAGGGAUUUCUGAUGUGGAACUGCAAAGAACUUUGUCAGGAGAGGCUUCAUACUGUUAUGGUUUACGUGAUUCCAUUGUCUGUAGCAGCUACUCCAAACAUGGGAAAAAAUAAGCAGAAAGAAUUGGAUAUGGAUGCAAUUCUGAGAUUCUUUAAUAAUACCAAGGAAGUAUCUUUCAUGUGAUUCCUGACUGAAUAAGAAGCUUGAAGGAAACGGGUGCAACAACAAGCUUACCGUAAACUUAGACUGCAAACUCUUGGGAGGGGCCAUGAGGAAAUUAUUAUGAUCUCUAGAUUCUAUUGCAGUAGAAGUUUGUAAACCAGUGAUGCCUGUGUCUUAUAUAGUGUUUAUCAUGUGUGCAUAUUGUAACAUUUUCAUAAAUGAGUAACAGUUGGAGAAAUUCAUCCACGAGUGUUUCUGAUCCCACUUAUUACUUUUCUUAUCCUUUUCUCAUUUUUUUUUUAAUAUUUAAUGUUAUGUAAAUGAUUAUGUGUUGACAACCUUAAAAUAUAUGAGGGCUGCUCAGAAAGUGAUUCCUCCCCUCUGCUGCUGUAUGUUGUAUGGCAGCAAAAUAUAAUGGAAUGUUAGUGGGAAAUGCCAUAUCACCAACAUCCACCUGUGCUAUGAUUGGCCAACAUAAUAAAUAGGAAGCAUUACUUUUGGAGCA